This 253-nucleotide ribosomal RNA is filed under the name uncultured bacterium. RNAcentral describes it as "partial 16S ribosomal RNA". It matches the Rfam family "Bacterial small subunit ribosomal RNA", at positions 524 to 776 of the family's 1533-position model. The record is from RNAcentral.
UACGUAGGCAGCAAGCGUUGUUCGGAGUUACUGGGCGUAAAGGGUGCGUAGGUGGCUCUAUAAGUAUGGUGUGAAAUCUCCCGGCUUAACUGGGAGGGUGCGCCGUAGACUGUGGGGCUAGAGUGUGGGAGAGGAAAGUGGAAUUCCUGGUGUAGCGGUGAAAUGCGUAGAUAUCAGGAGGAACACCUGUGGCGAAGGCGGCUCACUGGACCACAACUGACGCUGAGGCGCGAAAGCUAGGGGAGCAAACAGG